GACGAACGCUGGCGGCGUGCUUAACACAUGCAAGUCGAACGGUAAGUCUCCAGCUUGCUGGGUUCCACGAGUUGCGAACGGGUGAGUAACACGUUGGUGACCUGCCCUUCACUUCGGGAUAAGCCUUGGAAACUGGGUCUAAUACCGGAUAGGACCGCACCCUGAGGGUGUUGUGGAACGUUUUUUCGGUGUGGGAUGGUCCCGCGGCCUAUCAGCUUGUUGGUGGGGUAAUGGCCUACCAAGGCGGCGACGGGUAGCCGGCCUGAGAGGGUGGACGGCCACAUUGGGACUGAGAGACGGCCCAGAAUCCUACGGGAGGCAGCAGUGGGGAAUAUUGCACAAUGGGCGGAAGCCUGAUGCAGCGACGCCGCGUGGGGGAUGACGGCCUUCGGGUUGUAAACUACUGUCACCAUAGACGAAGGGUUUCUGACGGUAGAUGGAGAAGAAGCACCGGCUAACUACGUG
RNAcentral lists this ribosomal RNA (465 nucleotides) under uncultured bacterium. Its description in RNAcentral is "partial 16S ribosomal RNA". It matches the Rfam family "Bacterial small subunit ribosomal RNA", at positions 28 to 507 of the family's 1533-position model. The record is from RNAcentral.